UGAAAGUGUGACGUCAUGCUGAGAGCCUA
Molecule: non-coding RNA, 29 nt
Filed under: Rattus norvegicus (Norway rat)
Lineage: Eukaryota; Metazoa; Chordata; Mammalia; Rodentia; Muridae
Source: RNAcentral